Molecule: transfer RNA, 73 nt
Filed under: Microbacterium stercoris
Lineage: Bacteria; Bacillati; Actinomycetota; Actinomycetes; Micrococcales; Microbacteriaceae
Rfam family: tRNA
About the family: Transfer RNA (tRNA) molecules are approximately 80 nucleotides in length.
Source: Rfam by way of RNAcentral
CCCCCAAUAGCUCAGUGGACAGAGCUGCAAACUUCUAAUUUGUAGGUCGCAGGUUCGAAUCCUGCUUGGGGGA